CACGUAGGGCGCAAGCGUUGUCCGGAAUUAUUGGGCGUAAAGAGCUCGUAGGCGGUCUGUUGCGUCCGCUGUGAAAACUCGGGGCUUAACCCCGAGCCUGCAGUGGAUACGGGCAGACUAGAGGUAGGUAGGGGAGAAUGGAAUUCCCGGUGUAGCGGUGAAAUGCGCAGAUAUCGGGAGGAACACCGGUGGUGAAGGCGGUUCUCUGGGCCUUGCCUGACGCUGAGGAGCGAAAGCGUGGGGAGCGAACAGG
Molecule: ribosomal RNA, 253 nt
Filed under: uncultured bacterium
Lineage: Bacteria
Description: partial 16S ribosomal RNA
Rfam family: Bacterial small subunit ribosomal RNA
Source: RNAcentral